Stegodyphus dumicola is the source of this 1155-nucleotide long non-coding RNA. The record is from RefSeq and is a predicted model, not a curated record. Lineage: Eukaryota; Metazoa; Arthropoda; Arachnida; Araneae; Eresidae.
GACGUCUGUUAUGCAUGUUACAAAUUCAUGAAACCAAUAUUCAGCGAUCCGACCGCUGCGCCGCCAGUUUCCCUGUAAUACUGCGGCUACCUGCAUGAGGGACGGACGUCUGUUAUGCAUGUUACAAAUUCAUGAAACCAAUAUUCAGCGAUCCGACCGCUGCGCCGCCAGUUUCCCUGUAAUACUGCGGCUACCUGCAUGAGGGACGGACGUCUGUUAUGCAUGUUACAAAUUCAUGAAACCAAUAUUCAGCGAUCCGACCGCUGCGCCGCCAGUUUCCCUGUAAUACUGCGGCUACCUGCAUGAGGGACGGACGUCUGUUAUGCAUGUUACAAAUUCAUGAAACCAAUAUUCAGCGAUCCGACCGCUGCGCCGCCAGUUUCCCUGUAAUACUGCGGCUACCUGCAUGAGGGACGGACGUCUGUUAUGCAUGUUACAAAUUCAUGAAACCAAUAUUCAGCGAUCCGACCGCUGCGCCGCCAGUUUCCCUGUAAUACUGCGGCUACCUGCAUGAGGGACGGACGUCUGUUAUGCAUGUUACAAAUUCAUGAAACCAAUAUUCAGCGAUCCGACCGCUGCGCCGCCAGUUUCCCUGUAAUACUGCGGCUACCUGCAUGAGGGACGGACGUCUGUUAUGCAUGUUACAAAUUCAUGAAACCAAUAUUCAGCGAUCCGACCGCUGCGCCGCCAGUUUCCCUGUAAUACUGCGGCUACCUGCAUGAGGGACGGACGUCUGUUAUGCAUGUUACAAAUUCAUGAAACCAAUAUUCAGCGAUCCGACCGCUGCGCCGCCAGUUUCCCUGUAAUACUGCGGCUACCUGCAUGAGGGACGGACGUCUGUUAUGCAUGUUACAAAUUCAUGAAACCAAUAUUCAGCGAUCCGACCGCUGCGCCGCCAGUUUCCCUGUAAGAUUUCUUUUUAUUUAAUUAAAAUUUUCGUAACAUACAUGAAUGAAUUCCAUCGGAUAUUUUUUAGGAUAAUUCAUUUCGGUUCAUAUUUUUUUUUAAUUUAAAUUUUCGUUACAUACCUGAUUAGGUUUCAUCACAGUUUUUUGCUAUAAUUUUUGUUUAACACCUAACACUUCUUUUGAGUAUCAUUUUCUUUUUCAUAACUAACAGUUCAUUACAGUAAUAUUUUUAUGUAUGUAUACUUUU